Molecule: transfer RNA, 74 nt
Filed under: Methylotenera sp.
Lineage: Bacteria; Pseudomonadati; Pseudomonadota; Betaproteobacteria; Nitrosomonadales; Methylophilaceae
Description: tRNA-Lys
Source: RNAcentral
AGUGAGGUAAAUUACUUUAAGAUUGGUGGACUUUUAAUCCGUUUGUCGUGGGUUCGAUCCCCGCACACCUACCA